Molecule: ribosomal RNA, 485 nt
Filed under: uncultured Gemmatimonadota bacterium
Lineage: Bacteria; Pseudomonadati; Gemmatimonadota
Description: SSU rRNA
Rfam family: Bacterial small subunit ribosomal RNA
Source: RNAcentral
CAGCUAGUUGGCGAGGUAACGGCUCACCAAGGCAACGACGGGUAGCUGGUCUGAGAGGAUGGCCAGCCACAUUGGGACUGAGAUACGGCCCAGACUCCUACGGGAGGCAGCAGUGGGGAAUCUUGCGCAAUGGCCUAACGGCUGACGCAGCGACGCCGCGUGUGGGAUGAAGCUCUUCGGAGUGUAAACCACUGUUGCCCGGGACGAAUAGCUCGAUUAAUCGAGCCUGACGGUACCGGGUGAGGAAGCACCGGCUAACUCCGUGCCAGCAGCCGCGGUAAUACGGGGGGUGCGAGCGUUGUCCGGAAUCACUGGGCGUAAAGGGCGCGUAGGUGGUUUGAUAAGGGUGUGGUGAAAGUCCGGGGCUCAACCCCGGAUCUGCCGUGCCGACUGUCAAACUCGAGGGCUGUAGAGGCAGACGGAAUUCCGGGUGUAGCGGUGGAAUGCGUAGAGAUCCGGAGGAAGACCGGAGGCGAAGGCGGUCU